UCUCCUCCGAUCUCCGAAGUUAAGCAUCAUUGGGUCUGAUGAAUACCUAGAUGGGUGACCAUAUGAGAAUACCAGGUGCU
This is a non-coding RNA of Acanthosepion pharaonis, 80 nucleotides long. The record is from the annotation of a GenBank genome assembly. Lineage: Eukaryota; Metazoa; Mollusca; Cephalopoda; Sepiida; Sepiidae.